This 253-nucleotide ribosomal RNA is filed under the name uncultured bacterium. Its description in RNAcentral is "partial 16S ribosomal RNA". It matches the Rfam family "Bacterial small subunit ribosomal RNA", at positions 524 to 776 of the family's 1533-position model. The record is from RNAcentral.
UACGAAGGGGGCUAGCGUUGCUCGGAAUCACUGGGCGUAAAGGGCGCGUAGGCGGAUCUUUAAGUCAGGGGUGAAAGCCUGAGGCUCAACCUCAGAAUUGCCUUUGAUACUGAAGAUCUUGAGACCGGAAGAGGUAAGUGGAACUGCGAGUGUAGAGGUGAAAUUCGUAGAUAUUCGCAAGAACACCAGUGGCGAAAGCGGCUUCCUGGUCCAGCACCGACGUUCAGGCACGAAAGCGUGGGGAGCAAACAGG